Molecule: long non-coding RNA, 209 nt
Filed under: Elaeis guineensis (African oil palm)
Lineage: Eukaryota; Viridiplantae; Streptophyta; Magnoliopsida; Arecales; Arecaceae
Description: long non-coding RNA (EGUI_LNC061720)
Source: RNAcentral
CCCACCUCCGGUUUAGACUUCUUUUGCAGGUCCCGAUGGUGACCGCGACUCCCACGACUCUAGCUUCUCUGGCACAGGCAGAUUUUUGCACCAAUAGGAUUGGCGCUAGAGGAAGGACUGUAUCUUCGCAGUACCCUUGUUCUUAAAGGAGCGGUUAACGGGACCGCCUCUGGUCAUCUUCUCCGACAUCCACUCAUCCUUCCCCCACU